The sequence is a small RNA, 76 nucleotides long. It matches the Rfam family "Xanthomonas sRNA sX9".
AUCUACUCCCCGCACACUGCGGUUCCUGCGCGCCGUCCGCACCCAUCUGGCGAUGGCUCGCUCGGUUUUGUUAGCG